The submitters of this non-coding RNA (122 nucleotides) gave its source as unclassified sequences. The record is from Rfam.
CCGAGAUAGGGGUACAAGUUCUGCAGUAUUGCGUUCCUCUGGACCUAAGCAACGACCUGAAAGGGUAGCGACGAUUCUCGGCGUUAGUGGGGAGAGUGCUAGACGUAGUGUCUCCACUGACG